This 457-nucleotide ribosomal RNA is filed under the name uncultured organism. RNAcentral describes it as "partial 16S ribosomal RNA". It matches the Rfam family "Bacterial small subunit ribosomal RNA", at positions 334 to 799 of the family's 1533-position model. The record is from RNAcentral.
CACUCCUACGGGAGGCAGCAGUGGGGAAUAUUGCACAAUGGGCGCAAGCCUGAUGCAGCGACGCCGCGUGGGGGAUGAAGGCCUUCGGGUUGUAAACUCCUUUCGCUAGGGCCGAAGCUUUUUUGUGACGGUACCUAGAUAAGAAGCACCGGCUAACUACGUGCCAGCAGCCGCUGUAAUACGUAGGGGGUGAGCGUUGUCCGGAAUUACUGGGCGUAAAGGGCUCGUAGGUGGUUUGUCGCGUCGUCUGUGAAAUUCUGGGGCUUAACUCCGGGCGUGCAGGCGAUACGGGCAUAACUUGAGUGCUGUAGGGGUAACUGGAAUUCCUGGUGUAGCGGUGAAAUGCGCAGAUAUCAGGAGGAACACCGAUGGCGAAGGCAGGUUACUGGGCAGUUACUGACGCUGAGGAGCGAAAGCAUGGGUAGCGAACAGGAUUAGAAACCCUUGUAGUCCCAUG